AAUGCUCGAAAGAGUGAACUAGCUAACUGGAAUCACGAAUGUGUCAUUUGUGAUAAUGUAAAGGGAAAAUAAUGAUGUCACUUUACUAUUAGUGUUGUCAAAAGCUGGUGCCAGAAGACUCGGUAAGGCCAGAGACGCGAGCGUAAAUCAUCUUAAAAAGGCGUAAAGGGUAUGUAGGCAGCUUUAAAUAAUUAUAGAUUGAAUCAAAUACAGGUCAAUAGAAUUCUAGACAGGGUUGAUAUCUGUAUAUACUAGGGAGAAUACUAAUUAGCGAAAGCACUUCUCUAUCUUAUGAUUGACGCUGAGAAACGAAGGGGAGGAUAGACAAUAGGAUUAGAUACCCUGGCAUCCCUCUCUGUAAACGAUGAAUGGUAGUUGCUAGUUUAAUAAUUAGUGACGAGGUAACGCGUUAACCAUUCCGCCUUGUGAGUACGACUGCAAAGUUGAAAACAAAAAAAUUAGUCGGUUUCGGAGCCAACGAAGUGAAGCAUGUUAUUUAUUCG
This 503-nucleotide ribosomal RNA is filed under the name Geastrum saccatum. Its description in RNAcentral is "partial 12S small subunit ribosomal RNA". It matches the Rfam family "Bacterial small subunit ribosomal RNA", at positions 370 to 953 of the family's 1533-position model. The record is from RNAcentral. Lineage: Eukaryota; Fungi; Basidiomycota; Agaricomycetes; Geastrales; Geastraceae.